CUCAAAUCCUUCUUGGGGGUCAGCAAGAAGAGUCUUACAGAUGACAAAGAAGAAAAUAGGAGUCAAUGAGACACACAAUGGGAGCCCUGCUGGCUGAAUUCCUGGUGGUUUUGAUGCCUGGUUCACAGCCUUGGCUCGUGAGGUGCUGCAACAGGGAGGCUGAUCUCCAGCCCCAUAAACCUUCGAAGCUAACCUUGCAGCUGCAUCCUGCUAGGCUCUCCCACACAGGAACAGCUUCAGUGAGAUGCACAUCUGCAGGGAUGCUUCCAGGUGUGCUGUGA
Molecule: long non-coding RNA, 281 nt
Filed under: Zonotrichia albicollis (white-throated sparrow)
Lineage: Eukaryota; Metazoa; Chordata; Aves; Passeriformes; Passerellidae
Description: lncRNA (ENSZALG00000012646.1)
Source: RNAcentral